AGGACGAACGCUGGCGGCGUGCUUAACACAUGCAAGUCGAGCGGUAAGGCCCCUUCGGGGGUACACGAGCGGCGAACGGGUGAGUAACACGUGAGUAACCUGCCCCCCACAUUGGGAUAACCCCCGGGAAACCGGGGCUAAUACCGAGUACGACCACUCAGGGCAUCUCGAGUGGUGGAAAGCUCCGGCGGUGGAGGAUGGACUCGCGGCCUAUCAGCUUGUUGGUGAGGUAACGGCCCACCAAGGCGACGACGGGUAGCCGGCCUGAGAGGGUGACCGGCCACACUGGGACUGAGACACGGCCCAGACUCCUACGGGAGGCAGCAGUGGGGAAUAUUGGACAAUGGGCGAAAGCCUGAUCCAGCAACGCCGCGUGAGGGAUGACGGCCUUCGGGUUGUAAACCUCUUUCAGCGGGACGAAGCGAAAGUGACGGUACCCGCAGAAGAAGCACCGGCCAACUACGUGCCAGCAGCCGC
RNAcentral lists this ribosomal RNA (477 nucleotides) under uncultured bacterium. RNAcentral describes it as "SSU rRNA". It matches the Rfam family "Bacterial small subunit ribosomal RNA", at positions 26 to 518 of the family's 1533-position model. The record is from RNAcentral.